UUGAAAGGGACUGGGGCGUGUACAACAGGCCUGGGUAUGCCACCUUGGAAGUUACGUCACCAGCCUUAGACACAGAUCACAACUGAUCUGUUCAUCGUUGAUUAAUAUUAAUACUGAUUCUUAAUAUUAAUACUCUUAAUAAGUCCCCAGUUUCUUUUACUGUAAAAACACUUAAUGUCUGAGGCACAAUAUGAAAGCUGCGCUUGAAUGAAACCAGAGUGUUUGCAGCAGUGUGAUAUGAGAGAUGUGAAAGAAGUGCCGGUGUCAAAUACCUGGAUGAGCACUGUGUUUUUUACUGUUGCUAAUGAAAAUGGAUGUUAUCAGGGAAUAACACGCGUCAGAAUCUUGUGGCUGAAUAAUAACACACCUCAGAAUGUUUUGAAUUAAUGUUUUUCAACUCGUGCUCAGUGUGAAAUGGCCUUUAAGCUAGAGAACUCUUAGUUUAAGGUCAAGCUGACUUAAAAAAAAAAAAAAAAAAAAAACAUUCAUUAUUACAACAAAUUAGUAAUCAUUAAAACCAAAUAAAUACUUCCUAUUUUAUAUUUUGAUAUGGGGUGUUAUUUUACACUGUAAGGCAUACUAGCAGGAUCUGAUACAGUGCCUAGUGCCCUAAAUGAUAUCACAAAUCACAGUACGCUUUUAACACAUUUAUCAGGUUCAAAUGCAGAUUUUAUUUUUUUUCCCUCAAAACACAGUACUGCUGUAUGUUUUACACAACAGUGAAACUGUUCCAAAAUACAUUAGUUAUCACUCCAUUGAACAUUAUUUGUUUGUGUGUACAUUUCUGUCUCUGUUCAGUUUGGACCAUGGAGGACAUUUCAGGAUCGUUCCAGGACUGAAAAAAUAUGCCUUUGAUCUCACACUGGAUCCAAACACGGCACACACUCGUCUCAUUCUCUUUGAAGGGAACAAAAAAACAAAAUGUGUUAAAGAGCAUCAGCCGUAUCUUGAUCAUCCAGAGAGAUUCAUUCACCAUGAGCAGGUUUUGUGUGUUGAGAGACUGACUGGACGCUGUUACUGGGAGGUUGAAUGGAGCGGCUGGAGUCAUGUAGCAGUGUCAUAUAAAGGAAUCAACAAGAAAGAAGGAAGUGACAGUCGGUUUGGACUCAAUGAGAAUUCUUGGAAUCUUUACUGUUGUGAAACAAUUUAUUGUGCCUGGCACAAAAAUAAUAACAUAAACAUUCCUCCCUCGUCA
This is a long non-coding RNA of Cyprinus carpio (common carp), 1195 nucleotides long. RefSeq lists it as uncharacterized. The transcript has 2 exons. Lineage: Eukaryota; Metazoa; Chordata; Actinopteri; Cypriniformes; Cyprinidae. The record is from RefSeq and is a predicted model, not a curated record.